CUCCCAUGGAUAUUAGCUGAUGAGUUUUUUUUCUUGUGUUUAGUAUGAAGAAGGCAAUGCUUGGAGUGAUUGUGAUUGUCCUACAGGUAGUUCUGGUGUCCAGUCAAGCAUGCCCAACAUGGUUUAUACGCCAAGCAAACAAGUAAUUAGAUGAGGAGAUGUGUGGUCCUCUCAAUCGCACAGGGAUACUCUGUAGUCACUGCCAACCAGGACUGGGACCAGCUGUCUUCUCUUACUACAAAGAGUGUAAGGAAUGCAUGCCACAACCUUUAGGAUGGUUACUCUUCUUUGUCAGGCUUACAGUACCAUUGACUUUGAUUUGUGUGAUUGUUAUUGUGUUCCGGAUAAAAUUUGUUUCUCCAGUUUUGUACAGCUUUGUUUUGAUUGCUCAGGUGCUAAACACUGUAUUGUGUAGAAAUGACCCAUUCGAUAUAAGUGGAUAUACUCCCUCCUAUUCAUUUUAUAAAUUUGUGGCUGAUUUUGUGGGACUAUUCAAUUUGGACUUUUUUAUGUUCUUAAUUCCUCCCUUUUGUAUUAGUGAGCAAAUGAGCACACUCACAGUCGUAGCAUUGGAAUACCUAGAAGCUCUAUAUCCAAUCGCUUUCACUUUGGCUGUAUACUUGUUCAUUUCACUCCACGACAGAGGAUACAGGAUAAUUGUAAAUUGCUGGAGGCCAUUUCACAAGUGCUUAGCAAGAUUUCGGAGACGCUGGGAACUAAAAGGCUCUGUAGUGAAUGCGUUCGCAACCUUCUUUUUACUAUCCUACAGCAAAUUUUGUUCGAUUUCAAUUAGCCUGUUGAAGCCAGUACCUUUAUAUGACAAAUACGGAAAUGUAACAUACACUCUCUUCUUCGCAGCUGAUUUCAAUGUGGGCACAUACAUUCCACUUGCUAUACUAGCAUCAAUCCUCACUGUUACCAUGGUACUUCUACCGGCAGUGUUUCUGUUAUGCUAUCAAAACCAUUUGUUUCAGAGAUGUCUCUUUUGCUGCAAAAUCAAAUGUGUUCUAAUUCACGAGCUAGCAAACAUCACACAGGGCUAUUUCAAGAAUGGAACAACACCUGGUACUAGGGACUGUCGGUGGUUUGCUGGAGUCUACCUACUGCUGAGAAUAAUAUUCAUAGCCUUUGGUUCUCAGACGUACCACUUUAUUGUGUACCAAAUGAUCUUCAUUAUUACACCUGCUAUCAUCCUUGGCCUACGACCAUACAAGAAAGACCGUUACAACUAUUUUGAUGCUUUUCUCCUAGUACUGUUUGCAAUGGGGUCAGCUUGGUUCAUUUACCACGAGGCAUUUAGGAAUAGCCCAUGGUUUUUUGUCUUUAUUAUCGUUACAUUUAUACUACUGCUGUACAUCUUAGUGUUUAUUUCGUGGAUGAAAUCUUCCCUCACUAGUCGGUGUGGUUAUAGCUGCUGCCCUCAAAGACGAGCUAUACAACAUACAGGAUCGUUUACAGAUAACGAAGCCCUUCCACAUCGUAUCAGUGAUCCAAGCGAAUACACACCACUGUUACCACCAACCACUUGAUUACAUACCUGCUGUUAGCAGAAUACUCAGCAAACAACAGAUACUAGAACGAACUAUAUAGAUGUACCCGGUAUGUUUACUACGAUUAUUUCAUAGUUAUGAUAAGUCCUUGGGUUUUUUUUUGUUACAAAAACAUCAACACCAUGCAUAUACGUACAAGCACUAUAUGUACAUGCACUAUACUUGGUAUACUUCAUGUACAGUGGUGUAGUGAAAGUAUUUCUAGUCACUAUAGAUAAAACAAAAGCACUUAUUUCAAUCCUGUUUUGCCUGAUUUCGUAAUUAUUGCAAGUUAUCAAAUUAGUGUGGACACUCAUAAACUAAUUUAUGCAUGGGGUAAUAAGGAUGAGUACACUUUGAGUCCCAUGCAUGCACUCAUUCGUAAAUAUACCCGUUAGUUA
Molecule: long non-coding RNA, 1930 nt
Organism: Halichondria panicea
Lineage: Eukaryota; Metazoa; Porifera; Demospongiae; Suberitida; Halichondriidae
Exons: 2
Source: RefSeq, a predicted model, not a curated record